GCUUGUCUCAAAGAUUAAGCCAUGCAUGUCUCAGUACAAGCCAAAUUAAGGUGAAACCGCGAAAGGCUCAUUAAAUCAGUUAUGGUUCCUUAGAUCGUACCCACAAUUACUUGGAUAACUGUGGUAAUUCUAGAGCUAAUACAUGCAAACAGAGCUCCGACCGGAGACGGAAGGAGUGCUUUUAUUAGAUCAAAACCAAUCGGUGGCGGGUUCGCUCGUCAUCGUACAACUUGGUGACUCUGAAUAACUUUACGCUGAUCGCACGGUCAUCGCACCGGCGACGCAUCUUUCAAAUGUCUGCCUUAUCAACUGUCGAUGGUAGGUUCUGCGCCUACCAUGGUUGUAACGGGUAACGGGGAAUCAGGGUUCGAUUCCGGAGAGGGAGCCUGAGAAACGGCUACCACAUCCAAGGAAGGCAGCAGGCGCGCAAAUUACCCACUCCCGGCACGGGGAGGUAGUGACGAAAAAUAA
This 471-nucleotide ribosomal RNA is filed under the name Trigonopterus basalis. Its description in RNAcentral is "SSU rRNA". It matches the Rfam family "Eukaryotic small subunit ribosomal RNA", at positions 30 to 480 of the family's 1831-position model. The record is from RNAcentral. Lineage: Eukaryota; Metazoa; Arthropoda; Insecta; Coleoptera; Curculionidae.